UGGUCAAGUUUAAUAUAUAUUGUCCAAUCUAUUGAAGUACUAGCACACCAGCUCAAUCUAAUGAGCUGAUGUGGGUGAGUAGUUCAAUAGAUUGGACUUUAUAUAUUAAACUUGAUUAA
RNAcentral lists this microRNA precursor (119 nucleotides) under Eutrema salsugineum. Its description in RNAcentral is "MIR860 microRNA precursor family". It matches the Rfam family "MIR860 microRNA precursor family". Lineage: Eukaryota; Viridiplantae; Streptophyta; Magnoliopsida; Brassicales; Brassicaceae. The record is from Rfam by way of RNAcentral.